RNAcentral lists this ribosomal RNA (256 nucleotides) under uncultured bacterium. Its description in RNAcentral is "partial 16S ribosomal RNA". It matches the Rfam family "Bacterial small subunit ribosomal RNA", at positions 96 to 353 of the family's 1533-position model. The record is from RNAcentral.
UGGCGGACGGGUGAGUAAUGUCUGGGAAACUGCCUGAUGGAGGGGGAUAACUACUGGAAACGGUAGCUAAUACCGCAUAACGUCGCAAGACCAAAGAGGGGGACCUUCGGGCCUCUUGCCAUCAGAUGUGCCCAGAUGGGAUUAGCUAGUAGGUGGGGUAACGGCUCACCUAGGCGACGAUCCCUAGCUGGUCUGAGAGGAUGACCAGCCACACUGGAACUGAGACACGGUCCAGACUCCUACGGGAGGCAGCAUG